RNAcentral lists this ribosomal RNA (468 nucleotides) under uncultured bacterium. Its description in RNAcentral is "partial 16S ribosomal RNA". It matches the Rfam family "Bacterial small subunit ribosomal RNA", at positions 28 to 507 of the family's 1533-position model. The record is from RNAcentral.
GACGAACGCUGGCGGCGUGCUUAACACAUGCAAGUCGAACGGAAAGGCCCUGCUUUUGUGGGGUGCUCGAGUGGCGAACGGGUGAGUAACACGUGAGUAACCUGCCCUUGACUUUGGGAUAACUUCAGGAAACUCGGGCUAAUACCGGAUAGGAUCUCCUGCUGCAUGGUGGGGGUUGGAAAGUUUCGGCGGUUGGGGAUGGACUCGCGGCUUAUCAGCUUGUUGGUGGGGUAGUGGCUUACCAAGGCUUUGACGGGUAGCCGGCCUGAGAGGGUGACCGGCCACAUUGGGACUGAGAUACGGCCCAGACUCCUACGGGAGGCAGCGGUGGGGAAUAUUGCACAAUGGGCGGAAGCCUGAUGCAGCAACGCCGCGUGCGGGAUGACGGCCUUCGGGUUGUAAACCGCUUUCGCCUGUGACGAAGCGUGAGUGACGGUAAUGGGUAAAGAAGCACCGGCUAACUACGUG